Molecule: ribosomal RNA, 394 nt
Filed under: uncultured Paraphysomonas
Lineage: Eukaryota; Chrysophyceae; Chromulinales
Description: partial small subunit ribosomal RNA
Rfam family: Eukaryotic small subunit ribosomal RNA
Source: RNAcentral
GCUUGUCUCAAAGAUUAAGCCAUGCAUGUCUAAGUAUAAGCCUUUAUAUGGUGAGACUGCGAAUGGCUCAUUAAAUCAGAAACUGUUUAUUUGAUAGUGCCUACUACAUGGAUACCUGUAGUAAUUCUAGAGCUAAUACAUGCAUCAAACCUCGACUUUUUUGGAAGAGGUGUAUUUAUUAGAUGGAAACCAAUGCGGGGCAACCCGGAUUCAGGUGAUUCAUAAUAACUUUCGGAUCGAUCUUCGGAUCGAUGCAUCAUUCAAGUUUCUGCCCUAUCAGCUUUGGAUGGUAGGGUAUUGGCCUACCAUGGCUUUAACGGGUAACGGAGAAUUAGGGUUCGAUUCCGGAGAGGGAGCCUGAGAAACGGCUACCACAUCCAAGGAAGGCAGCAGG